UUUUCACCUUCCCUGGCAGAAAGUUUUUCAGCAUUUUAGGACUACUUUUGAAAGAACACUUGGCAGGUGUUAUGAAUGGUUGAUAGUUCUGACUGUUACAUCACCUCACCUUGGAAAGCACAGAGGAGAAAGCUGUUUGCAGGAACUCAGGCAAGCAUUCAUCUCUCUGAGCCUCAACUACCAUCCAUGAAGAAGAGGUAUUACCUAACCCAUGAAUUCCAA
This is a long non-coding RNA of Hyaena hyaena (striped hyena), 222 nucleotides long. RefSeq lists it as uncharacterized. The record is from RefSeq and is a predicted model, not a curated record. The transcript has 3 exons. Lineage: Eukaryota; Metazoa; Chordata; Mammalia; Carnivora; Hyaenidae.